GAUGAGCCCGCGGCCUAUCAGCUUGUUGGUGGGGUGAUGGCCUACCAAGGCGACGACGGGUAGCCGGCCUGAGAGGGCGACCGGCCACACUGGGACUGAGACACGGCCCAGACUCCUACGGGAGGCAGCAGUGGGGAAUAUUGCACAAUGGGCGGAAGCCUGAUGCAGCGACGCCGCGUGAGGGAUGACGGCCUUCGGGUUGUAAACCUCUUUCAGCAGGGAAGAAGCUUUUGUGACGGUACCUGCAGAAGAAGCACCGGCUAACUACGUGCCAGCAGCCGCGGUAAUACGUAGGGUGCGAGCGUUGUCCGGAAUUAUUGGGCGUAAAGAGCUCGUAGGCGGCUUGUCGCGUCGGAUGUGAAAGCCCGGGGCUUAACCCUGGGUCUGCAUUCGAUACGGGCAGGCUGGAGUUCGGUAGGGGAGAUCGGAAUUCCUGGUGUAGCGGUGAAAUGCGCAGAUAUCAGGAGGAACACCGGUGGCGAAGGCGGAUCUCUGGGCCGAUACUGACGCUGAGGAGCGAAAGCAUGGGGAGCGAACAGGAUUAGAUACCCUGGUAGUCCAUGCCGUAAACGUUGGGCACUAGGUGU
RNAcentral lists this ribosomal RNA (587 nucleotides) under uncultured Actinomycetes bacterium. RNAcentral's name for it is "bacterial SSU rRNA". It matches the Rfam family "Bacterial small subunit ribosomal RNA", at positions 224 to 823 of the family's 1533-position model. Lineage: Bacteria; Bacillati; Actinomycetota; Actinomycetes. The record is from RNAcentral.